This 760-nucleotide long non-coding RNA is filed under the name Homo sapiens (human). RNAcentral's name for it is "HSALNT0402391". The record is from RNAcentral. Lineage: Eukaryota; Metazoa; Chordata; Mammalia; Primates; Hominidae.
AGUUGGUGACUGCUCGAAGGGGUGGGAGGAACAGUAUAAAGUCCUGUCCCCUUCCUGCCUUCAAGGGCACCCCUGAAGGACCAUAUCCACUGUGGACCCCCUUGGGAUCAGCCGAGCUUUUCACACUCUCUGUUGCCCUUGUCCUUGGGCAUCUCAGUGACUCGAAGGAAUUGGGUCUUGAGACACAGCCGAGCCUGUGAGCGCUGACCUGUGUAAAGAAGACACCAGAAUGAGAUGUCUCCACACACAGAGAGCUGCAGCCGAUGCCGGCCGGUGACUUGGGACUUGGAUGCUUAACAGGAGGCUCCCCCUCUCUUGGGAGAGAGCAGUGAGGAAGGGGACUCAGCCUCCAUGCCUCCCGCCAGCCCAGCUGCGCCCGAAUCACCUCCCUCCUGAAAGGAUGUCAGCCUCUGCUUGGACACCGUGGAGACAGGGCCCUCCUUGUGCUUCAGAAGCAUCAACGUGUCAGAAAAUCAUCUUCACGCCAAGUCUGGAAAAAAUGGCUUUGAGGUUGUGCACACAAAGGAAGGAGGGAGAGCCCCAGGUGUCGCGGAGGACCAUGCGGCUGACAGAGCCAGCAGGGCGGUGGCGUGUGAGCCGUGCUCUGGAUAUAUAAGGAUCUGACGCUGCUGGCAAUGUCUGAGCUCUAUGCUCGCCCAUCUGUCGGCUGCUAUCAUCACCGGGUGGGAUUAGCGGAGAUCCACUCUUUCAUAUUUAAAUCUUCACAAGAGAAUGAAUCACUUUUAUAAUAAAAGAAAAA